RNAcentral lists this long non-coding RNA (239 nucleotides) under Elaeis guineensis (African oil palm). Its description in RNAcentral is "long non-coding RNA (EGUI_LNC036989)". The record is from RNAcentral. Lineage: Eukaryota; Viridiplantae; Streptophyta; Magnoliopsida; Arecales; Arecaceae.
UUGCCCUCUUUAAUGCCAAAACCAAAUGGGGUGUGUGCUCCAUCAUGCUCUCCUUUUCCUUGUCGCAGUAGGUUAAGGGGGGCGCCAACAGUUGGCACCCCAUGGAUUCAAUCUGUUGGUGCCCCAUGGAUCCAAUCCAAUUGGACUGAAGUCCAAUUUCUUCCAACUUUAUUUAUGAGGCAAACCAACUCUUGUCUGCUUAUAAUGCUUGCAAUUGACUUGAUCUAAUUUUUAUCUCA